GGAUUCCUUCGGGGCAGGGUGGAAUUCCCCGACCGGCGGUAUUAGAUGAUGACUGUUUUUAAAUCAACAUUUCAAAACAGCAUCAUCUAGAGCCCGUGACCCGCGACAAGCGGUGGAUCUGGUGAGAGGCCAGAGCCGACAGUGACAGUCUGGAUGGGAGAAGGAAGAA
This 169-nucleotide non-coding RNA is filed under the name Caldalkalibacillus thermarum. RNAcentral's name for it is "FMN sequence". It matches the Rfam family "FMN riboswitch aptamer (RFN element)". From Rfam's summary of the family: The RFN element is a highly conserved domain that is found frequently in the 5'-untranslated regions of prokaryotic mRNAs that encode for flavin mononucleotide (FMN) biosynthesis and transport proteins. This element is a metabolite-dependent riboswitch that directly binds FMN in the absence of proteins. The record is from RNAcentral. RNAcentral also lists the same sequence under 1 other name. Lineage: Bacteria; Bacillati; Bacillota; Bacilli; Caryophanales; Bacillaceae.